Trachemys scripta elegans is the source of this 709-nucleotide long non-coding RNA. RefSeq lists it as uncharacterized. The transcript is spliced from 5 exons. The record is from RefSeq and is a predicted model, not a curated record. Lineage: Eukaryota; Metazoa; Chordata; Testudines; Emydidae.
CUCCUCGAGUGCGCCGCUGAGCUUUGCCUGUGCGCGUGGGGGUCGUGCUGUGGAGCGGCUCUAGGAAACCCAGCAGCCGGCGGGAGAAAAUACAUUCUGCCAGAGGGGCUCUGCAGUUAUGCCUUUCGCUCACGCAGGGCUGCUGUGGCACCAGAACAGAGGCAGCUGGCUUACCACUCACAGGCCUCAGCAGUCAGCAGUUGAUAGGGAGAGAGCAGAGGCUGCAUUCCUCACCGUGCACUGUCCAUGGGACCAGGUUUCAAAAUCACUUGAUGCACCCGCGCCGUGAUUUCAAGGUCUACUAGAUGCAACAAGUCUGGAUCAGGAUCAGACUCUGGCUUAAAAUGUGUAGGAAGACAAGGACAAUGGGGAGAGGAACAUUCAGAGUGUGCAACCAACCUAAUUCUCAAUUACUAAGGGACAAUCUCCACUCAUUGAUAUAUUUUGCUUUCCACAACCAAAUCUCUGUACAACUUUUCAUAAGUGAUGUACCCAAGUAUUCAGAUUCUAAUAUCUAAACUGUAUUGUUAAAUCUAUUCACCUAAAUUUGGGUUAUUGCUGAUUAUGUGCACUAUGUAUCAUAUGACUUUUAAAAACUAACUCUUUUCCAAACCAGUGUAUUAUAUAAUUUUUUUAACAUUAACUUUAAUAAAAAUUUUAUAUCUUUGCUGUUUCACUUUUCAAGCAAAACAGUAAACAGAUACAAAUG